This 610-nucleotide long non-coding RNA is filed under the name Mustela putorius furo (domestic ferret). RNAcentral's name for it is "lncRNA (ENSMPUG00000031819.1)". The record is from RNAcentral. Lineage: Eukaryota; Metazoa; Chordata; Mammalia; Carnivora; Mustelidae.
GUCAUAUCUAUAUUUUAGUGCUUUGUAGAAUUCACCAGUGAAAAAUCUAGACCUAGAAUUUUUGGAGGGGAAGGAAUUUAACUGUGAAUUUUAUUUUCUUAAUAGGUGUAAGCCCAGAAGUGCCUGGGUGGCUCAGUCAGUUAAGCAUCUGACUCUUAUUUUGGCUCAGAACACUCCCACAGGAAGCAUCGCUGAUGGUCACUGGAUUGAUUUACAAAGGACAAAAGUACAAUGAGUAAAGGAGCAAAUAAGCACUUUUCAGAAAAGAAUCAAUAAACUCUGCUUUUAACGUGAAAAUAAAAGAAAUUUCUUACUGAAAAGAAGGGGAAAUUAUUCUUGGAACACAGAUGAUGAUAUCAACAGUGGCAGCAGCAGCAUCAACAAACCAAUUCAAAAAUCAAGAAAUUAUGUGUGAAAUGUAAAAAUAAUUGCCACCAAAGAGGAAAAUUAUGAUUGAAUAAGAAAAUAAAUGAGUGAUUAAGCAUGUUUAAUUAAUAAAAAUGUGGUGAGAGCCCAUUGUUUUCUCCAGUUCAAUGAAUCUGCUAUUUCUAAUAAUCUUAUUUGUUUGUGUAAAUUUUUACUGAUCAAGUGAGACAUAGCCCCAUCUUAC